This 473-nucleotide ribosomal RNA is filed under the name uncultured bacterium. RNAcentral's name for it is "SSU rRNA". It matches the Rfam family "Bacterial small subunit ribosomal RNA", at positions 26 to 518 of the family's 1533-position model. The record is from RNAcentral.
AGGACGAACGCUGGCGGCGUGCUUAACACAUGCAAGUCGAGCGGAAAGGCCCUUCGGGGUACUCGAGCGGCGAACGGGUGAGUAACACGUGAGUAAUCUGCCCCUAGCUCUGGGAUAGCUCCGGGAAACCGGGAUUAAUACCAGAUACGACCACUUUAGACAUCUGUUGUGGUGGAAAGAAUUUUGGCUAGGGAUGAGCUCGCGGCCUAUCAGCUUGUUGGUGAGGUAACGGCUCACCAAGGCGACGACGGGUAGCCGGCCUGAGAGGGCGACCGGCCACACUGGGACUGAGACACGGCCCAGACUCCUACGGGAGGCAGCAGUGGGGAAUAUUGCGCAAUGGGCGAAAGCCUGACGCAGCGACGCCGCGUGGGGAUGAAGGCCUUCGGGUUGUAAACCCCUUUCAGCAGGGACGAAGCGAAAGUGACGGUACCUGCAGAAGAAGCGCCGGCUAACUACGUGCCAGCAGCCGC